GCCAUGCCCUAGCUCAUCCUCCCCCACAACAAGAAAGGUUCUUGUUCUAGGUCCUGGAGGAAGAAGAAGAGCAUGCAAGAAGAGGAGUAAGAGGGGGAAGGAAGAAGAGAAGAUCCCCUCCUUUACUCCCUGAUUCCUCUAGAUCCAGCUCUAAAGUUGCCUCAUCUUUUAGGUUGCAAUCGCCGGCGUGGAGGAAGAACACGGUCAGCCAUAUCCAUGAUGCAGUGCCCUCCUCUGCCUCAUCUUUUAGGUUGCCUCUCUCCCUCCCCCAUUUUUGUGUAACAAUAUAGAGAAAUCUAUGUAAGCCAACUGUUUGAUGAUGUGUCUAUGAGUCAUGAAAUUGUGUUUUUGCGUGUUUUUAUGUUGUAGUUGUUGCAGACACCGGCAUCUACGAUGAAGCUAUUCAUUUUGGUCACGCCACUGUACAUAAGCCGCCCGCAAUAAGCUUGGACUGCCUUCGUUCUGUGGGGAUCGGUCAUCGUCCCCUUCAAUAGAUUCAUUGGGGUCGCCACAGACGAGUUCUGCUCCUUGUCCUUCCACGUUUUGCGCAGAUUUAUGUGAUGAAUUUUGUUAAUGAAACAUCAAUUAUGUCCGUUCCGGUGGUGUAAAUGAAUCAAGAAACUAUAGUAGAAUAUUGAUGCAUCUCUGGCUCUCCUGAAUUUGUUCGGCGGCACCUUCUCUCCCCCAACUCAGCAGUAUACAGCAUUGAUGAGGAUAACUCUCCACUUUUCCCCAAUUUAGAAGCUUCCGUUUGCAGUACAUGUUUUUCAUAUGUGGUUCCAUGGCACUGAUAGGUAAAACCAAUUUUAUGUCCAAUAAAAAUUGGCACUGUAGAACAUGAUUAGGAGGGUGGAGUUAUUGCUUUGGAGUUUGAUAAUUUUAACCUGGUAAAUGCUUAAUUUUGGCUAUGGUCACAUCCUUUUCAUUAUUACAGCUGCUUUUUUUUGUUUUACUGUCAUUGCUUCAACCUAAUAUUAUUAUUUUAAAAUAUUUAUCCUCGCAUUUGUUUCAGAAAUUUUGUAGAAGUAAGAUCUCUUAACUAGCUUUCUGUCUUAAUUUUAUUUUGACAUACAUAGUUCUUGUGCUGUGUAUUCACGUUGUAUUAUCUUUUAUACAGAGUACACAUAGGAGAUACUAUUUAGUUAGUAUCUGAAGUUUAGCAUGAUAUUCACACUUUUGUUAUAAUUAUUUUCUCGCUUGCAUUGCUACUCCGUAGAUUAUGAUUUUGUUGGUCAAUGAUGAUAUUAGCAACUUCUAGUUCACCGAAUGCUUGCCAUUUCUGAAAUUUCAUCUUUUUUAAAUAGUAUUGUUGUUUUGUAGUGGCCUUUUGGACGUCCAUUUUUUAUAAAUACCCUCGGUUCUUUCCAUUUCACAUUAGAGAGUGACCUUUACAUCAAACAUUUGCACAGAAUUUCCAUUAAACCUAUUCACUUGUCUUUUAGGAUUUGAGCAUAUGUUACUCGUAGUAAAUGGGACUGCCAACAAUGUGCGUGUAUCGAUUAUUCCCUGGAAGGUUACAUAUGGGUGAAGAAAAGUGCAAUUCUAUUGUUUGGAGCAUUUGUCUCUAGCCAGUGAAUUUGGAAGGUGAAAGUCAUUGUCAUGUUUUCUUGUGGUGUCAUGUGUCCCAUCAUUUGAAAUAAGACUUGUUUACGCAGCCCAAGUUUUCUUCCUCGCAUGCGCAAUGAGCGCGCAGGCCGUGAGCGCCACCUCGCUAUCGUGGAUACAUCCAGAGGGCUCAGAGUACGAAGUUCAGCUUUAUCAGCGUUCACGCAAUUUCCAAAGGUGUGGGCAGCCAAGAAGAUUAUGCCGUAGCCUGAAUUUUUAGCCACUACACCAACACUGAUGAGGCCGGUUUCCCCAGUUGCUGCAGAAAAGUAGGAUGAGUAAGAGCUCCGAUACUGAACAUAGAUUGUUCCUGGAACUUCCUCAGUUCCUAUAAUGAUUACUAUUUCACAUGAAACCCAAUAUCGUUAUGAAGUUGUUCCUGGUAGACUCUGGUAUGGUAUCAAUCGUUCUU
Long non-coding RNA from Lolium rigidum, 2017 nucleotides. RefSeq lists it as uncharacterized. The record is from RefSeq and is a predicted model, not a curated record. Lineage: Eukaryota; Viridiplantae; Streptophyta; Magnoliopsida; Poales; Poaceae. The transcript is spliced from 7 exons.